Molecule: ribosomal RNA, 164 nt
Filed under: Pyrenaria menglaensis
Lineage: Eukaryota; Viridiplantae; Streptophyta; Magnoliopsida; Ericales; Theaceae
Also listed under: 5 other names
Description: 5.8S ribosomal RNA
Rfam family: 5.8S ribosomal RNA
About the family: 5.8S ribosomal RNA (5.8S rRNA) is a component of the large subunit of the eukaryotic ribosome.
Source: RNAcentral
UAAACGACUCUCGGCAACGGAUAUCUCGGCUCUCGCAUCGAUGAAGAACGUAGCGAAAUGCGAUACUUGGUGUGAAUUGCAGAAUCCCGUGAACCAUCGAGUCUUUGAACGCAAGUUGCGCCCGAAGCCAUUAGGUUGAGGGCACGUCUGCCUGGGCGUCUCGC